CGUUAGAUUUGGCAGAAAAUUUAUUAGGGAUAAGCUUAAUAUCUUAUAUUUAUAUAGUAAUAGGAGUAGGAUUAGUAAAGGAUUAAUAGUGUCUUUAUGUUUUGUAACUGAUUGUUUAUGUUUUUAUUAAUUAGCUAUAUGAGGGUAUCUUGAGAUUUUUUUUGUUAGUAAUAAUGGUAGAAUUAGUAGAUUAAUUUUUAGUGAGUAAUUUAGGUGUUUUAUUUAAAGUACUUUAAUUUGUAAAUAUUGGUAAGGAACUCGGCAAACAUCUUUCUUAACUGUUUAUCAAAAACAUCUCUUUAAGGAAGGAUUUAAAGUAUAUUCUGCCCCCUGAUUAAUCUAUUAAAGGGCCGCAGUAGCCUGACUGUGCUAAGGUAGCAUAAUCAUUAGGUUCUUAAUUGGGAUCUGGAAUGAAUGAAUGAAUAAGGGGGAGCUGUCUAUCAAUAGAGGUUGAAAUUAAAUUUUUAGUAAGAAUGCUAGAAUCUUUCAGUGGGACGAUAAGACCCUAUAAAGCUUUACUAACCUUUAGUAAAAAUUUUUACUACUUUUAUGAAGAGUUUAGUUUUUCUGGGGCGGUAGCUAAUCAACUUAGCUAAUUUUCUUUUCUUGUGGGAUCCAUCUUUGGUGAAUUAAGAUUAAGUUACUUUAGGGAUAACAGCAUAAUAUAUCUAUGGAGUUCUAAUCGAAGGAUAUGGUUGUGACCUCGAUGUUGAAUUAACCUUAUUGUAAGGUGAAGAAGCUUUACGAGUUAGUCUGUUCGACUAUUAAAGGGUUACGUGAUUUGAGUUCAAACCGGUUUAAGCCAGGUUGGUUUCUAUCUACUGGAUUUAAAAAAUUUCUUAGUACGAAAGGACCAGAGAUUUUAGAUUUUCUAUUUAAUAUCGUUUUGGCCUCUUUAGGUCUUU
RNAcentral lists this ribosomal RNA (905 nucleotides) under Hadrobunus maculosus. Its description in RNAcentral is "16S ribosomal RNA". The stretch from base 464 to 828 matches the Rfam family "Bacterial large subunit ribosomal RNA", at positions 2049 to 2651 of the family's 2925-position model. The record is from RNAcentral. Lineage: Eukaryota; Metazoa; Arthropoda; Arachnida; Opiliones; Sclerosomatidae.